RNAcentral lists this ribosomal RNA (914 nucleotides) under uncultured marine archaeon. RNAcentral's name for it is "bacterial SSU rRNA". It matches the Rfam family "Archaeal small subunit ribosomal RNA", at positions 1 to 921 of the family's 1478-position model. The record is from RNAcentral.
UUCCGGUUGAUCCCGCCGGAGGCUACCGCUAUUGGAGUUCGAUUAAGCCAUGCGAGUCGUGAGUCCUAGGGACUCGGCGUACCGCUCAGUAACACGUGGGUAACCUGCCCUAUGCUGGGGGAUAACCUCGGGAAACUGAGAAUAAUACCCCAUAGUUCACCACGCCUGGAACGGUGGGUGGAUGAAAGCUCCGGCGGCAUAGGAUGGGCCUGCGGCGUAUCAGGUUGUAGGGGGUGUAAUGUACCCUCUAGCCAUCUACGCGUACGGGUGUUGAGAGACAUCGCCCGGAGAUGGAUUCUGAGACACGAAUCCAGACCCUACGGGGUGCAGCAGGCGCGAAAACUUGGCAAUGCGAGCAAUCGUGACCAGGGAACUCCAAGUGCAUCGGGUAAGACCGAUGCUUUUCUUGACUCUUCAAAGGUCUUGGAAUAAGAGGUGGGUAAGGACGGUGCCAGCCGCCGCGGUAAUACCGGCGCCUCAAGUGGUAGUCGCUUUUAUUGGGCCUAAAACGUCCGUAGCCGGUUUGGUACAUUCGUGGGUAAAUCAAGACGCUCAACGUCUUGAAUUCUGCGAGCACGGCCAGACUUGGGACCGGGUGAGGUGUGGGGUACUCUCAGGGUAGGGGUAAAAUCCUGUCAUCCUGAGGGGACCACCUGUUGCGAAGGCGCCACACUAGAACGGAUCCGACGGUCAGGGACGAAGCCUAGGGGCACGAACCGGAUUAGAUACCCGGGUAGUCCUAGGUGUAAACGCUGUGGACUUGAUGUUGGGAGUGCUCCGAGCACCCUCAGUGUCGAAGCGAAGGUGAUAAGUCCACUGCCUGGGGAGUACGGUCGCAAGGCUGAAACUUAAAGGAAUUGGCGGGGGAGCACUGCAACCUGAGGAUUGUGCGGUUUAAUUGGAUUCAACGCCGG